UUAGAUACCCUGGUAGUCCACGCCCUAAACGAUGUCUACUAGUUGUCGGGUCUUAAUUGACUUGGUAACGCAGCUAACGCGUGAAGUAGACCGCCUGGGGAGUACGGUCGCAAGAUUAAAACUCAAAGGAAUUGACGGGGACCCGCACAAGCGGUGGAUGAUGUGGAUUAAUUCGAUGCAACGCGAAAAACCUUACCUACCCUUGACAUGUACAGAAUCCCGAAGAGAUUUGGGAGUGUUCGAAAGAAAACUGUAACACAGGUGCUGCAUGGCUGUCGUCAGCUCGUGUCGUGAGAUGUUGGGUUAAGUCCCGCAACGAGCGCAACCCUUGUCAUUAGUUGCUACGAAAGGGCACUCUAAUGAGACUGCCGGUGACAAACCGGAGGAAGGUGGGGAUGACGUCAAGUCCUCAUGGCCCUUAUGGGUAGGGCUUCACACGUCAUACAAUGGUACAUACAGAGGGCCGCCAACCCGCGAGGGGGAGCUAAUCCCAGAAAGUGUAUCGUAGUCCGGAUUGUAGUCUGCAACUCGACUACAUGAAGUUGGAAUCGCUAGUAAUCGCGGAUCAGCAUGUCGCGGUGAAUACGUUCCCGGGUCUUGUACACACCGCCCGUCACACCAUGGGAGCGGGUUUUACCAGAACGUAGGUA
This 650-nucleotide ribosomal RNA is filed under the name Collimonas sp. AD102. Its description in RNAcentral is "bacterial SSU rRNA". It matches the Rfam family "Bacterial small subunit ribosomal RNA", at positions 778 to 1433 of the family's 1533-position model. The record is from RNAcentral. Lineage: Bacteria; Pseudomonadati; Pseudomonadota; Betaproteobacteria; Burkholderiales; Oxalobacteraceae.